Molecule: ribosomal RNA, 505 nt
Filed under: uncultured bacterium
Lineage: Bacteria
Description: partial 16S ribosomal RNA
Rfam family: Bacterial small subunit ribosomal RNA
Source: RNAcentral
GACGAACGCUGGCGGCGUGCCUAAUACAUGCAAGUAGAACGCACAGUUUAUACCGUAGCUUGCUACACCAUAAACUGUGAGUUGCGAACGGGUGAGUAACGCGUAUGUAACCUGCCUGGUAGCGGGGGAUAACUAUUGGAAACGAUAGCUAAUACCGCAUAAUAUUGAUUAUUGCAUGAUAAUUGAUUGAAAGAUGCUAUUGCAUCACUACCAGAUGGACCUGCGUUGUAUUAGCUAGUAGGUGAGGUAACGGCUCACCUAGGCGACGAUACAUAGCCGACCUGAGAGGGUGAUCGGCCACACUGGGACUGAGACACGGCCCAGACUCCUACGGGAGGCAGCAGUAGGGAAUCUUCGGCAAUGGACGAAAGUCUGACCGAGCAACGCCGCGUGAGUGAAGAAGGUUUUCGGAUCGUAAAGCUCUAUUGUAAGAGAAGAAGGGGUGUGAGAGUAGAAAGUUCACACUGUGACGGUAUCUUACCAGAAAGGGACGGCUAACUACGUG